AGAUUUUACCCCCAUUUCAUGGAUAAAUGCUACCCAUGAGAAAAUAACUUACCCAUCUAGAGAAGCAUAAGAAUAUGGGUAAGUUGACUAGCUUUCCCAUGAUAUUUAUCCGCCAAAGAACGGGCCCUAAGUGCUAGUGUUCCCGUUAAUGAGCUUUUCAUGUGUAAUAACUCAUUCGUCUUGAUAUCUUGGUAAUGAUGCAGACCAUAUAUUCUUUGGAUGAUGAUUCUUUUUUGUAGCUGC
Molecule: long non-coding RNA, 243 nt
Filed under: Elaeis guineensis (African oil palm)
Lineage: Eukaryota; Viridiplantae; Streptophyta; Magnoliopsida; Arecales; Arecaceae
Description: long non-coding RNA (EGUI_LNC009050)
Source: RNAcentral